Molecule: ribosomal RNA, 171 nt
Filed under: uncultured bacterium
Lineage: Bacteria
Description: partial 16S ribosomal RNA
Rfam family: Bacterial small subunit ribosomal RNA
Source: RNAcentral
CCUACGGGAGGCAGCAGUAAGGAAUAUUGGACAAUGGAGGCAACUCUGAUCCAGCCAUGCCGCGUGAAGGAAUAAGGCCCUAUGGGUUGUAAACUUCUUUUAGACGGGACAAAACCCUUACGUGUAAAGGGUUGAUGGUACUGUCAGAAUAAGCAUCGGCUAACUUCGUGC